RNAcentral lists this ribosomal RNA (253 nucleotides) under uncultured bacterium. RNAcentral describes it as "partial 16S ribosomal RNA". It matches the Rfam family "Bacterial small subunit ribosomal RNA", at positions 524 to 776 of the family's 1533-position model. The record is from RNAcentral.
UACGUAGGGGGCAAGCGUUAUCCGGAUUUACUGGGUGUAAAGGGAGCGUAGACGGUACGGCAAGUCUGAUGUGAAAACCCGGGGCUCAACCCCGGGACUGCAUUGGAAACUGUCGGACUAGAGUGUCGGAGAGGCAAGUGGAAUUCCUAGUGUAGCGGUGAAAUGCGUAGAUAUUAGGAGGAACACCAGUGGCGAAGGCGGCUUGCUGGACGAUGACUGACGUUGAGGCUCGAAAGCGUGGGGAGCAAAUAGG